UACAGAGGUCUCAAGCGUUGUUCGGAUUCAUUGGGCGUAAAGGGCGCGUAGGCGGUGCGGUAAGUCUUUUGUGAAAUCUCCGGGCUCAACUCGGAGUCUGCAAGAGAAACUGCCGUGCUGGAGUAUGGGAGAGGUGAGUGGAAUUCCCGGUGUAGCGGUGAAAUGCGUAGAUAUCAGGAGGAACACCGGUGGCGAAGGCGCUCAUCUGGCCCAAUACUGACGCUGAAGCUCGAAAGCUAGGGGAGCAAACGGG
RNAcentral lists this ribosomal RNA (253 nucleotides) under uncultured bacterium. Its description in RNAcentral is "partial 16S ribosomal RNA". It matches the Rfam family "Bacterial small subunit ribosomal RNA", at positions 524 to 776 of the family's 1533-position model. The record is from RNAcentral.